GGCGCUGGGCUGGGAGCCCGGGCGCGCAGCCCCCUCCCGCCCCUCCAUCUCCCACUCUGUGCGCGCUCGCUUCCCUCUGCCUGGGCUUGAUGGGAGCCCAACUGGGUCCCGCAGUGACCCCCGUCGCCCCCCGCGCCCCGAGCCGCGCCCUCUGACAGGUGAGCGCGCGCAUCCAGGCGCACCCCACGCCGCGAAGUGCCCGCGGACCCCGUGGGGUUCCCGCCUCUCGGCUCAGCUUUGGGGUUUUGCAGGCCUCCCUGGCCAAGCCCCCUGGGAUCUGCGCCCCCAUCCAAACCUCGGGGCCGACACCCGCCCCGGCCCCCCAACCCCCAGCCCGCGCUGCCUGGGUGAUCUUGGGCAAGGCCUCCGUCCUCUCUGACUUCCGUUUCCCCCUGUGGCUUUGUGCGCUGCUGAGCCAGAUAACAGCCGCUGCCCCUCCUCUCGCGCUCCCAGAACUGGCUGUGCUGGGGGUAUGGCGGGGGCCCCAAGGCAUACUCCACAUCCCCACACCCCGCGGACACUCAUCUAAGGGGAGCGUUGAUCCUGGCUGAUCCUGGGCAAGGAGCUUCAAACCCCCGGUUUUCUCAUCUGCAAGACGGAAAGAACUAAGGUUUGAGGAGGCACCAUGGAGUGUGGCCAUUGGUGGCCUGGGCCCAGGACACCACUUGGUGGCUGCCCCUGAGCCACAGGACCACUUUCCAUUGAACCUACUUCAAAAUGACACCCGAGUCUUCUGGGACUACAGGAGGCCAGGCAUUGGUGUCUCUGGGAUUUAUGGCAAAGAUUCCAGCUCAUCCUGGACAGGGUGACAGAAUGCUGGGAGACUGCCCCACCCCCACCCCCUGUCAGAAGAGCCCUAGCACUCAUAGAGGCUGAGCUGGUCUAGCUGCCACCCCGGCCCGGGACCCGACCACCCUCACCCCCAAAUGCUAAAGAAGUUGCCACAUAGGCAUACACACACAAGAAAGCAGGAAGCACAGCCCAAGCCUCCAGCAGCAACUUGGCCUGGGCCUCCCAGAUCAUUUAGACUCACACCCUGCCCUGCGUGGGCCCCUCCUGCCACCACCUGGAUGCCCUACCCAUCUUCAUGAGGCUUGGGAGCUAGUGCCCCUCACCCCAGGGACCAAAGAUUCCUGUUAGGUAGGAGCUGUGCAGCCCUCGAGCCCGCCCCCACCCCGCUCCUGCCCUCACCCACCCCCAAAUGGAAGACCUCAGAGCGCCCAAAAAGGGAGACAGAUGUGGGGUGGCUGGGGUCUUCCGGCCUGCUCCCAGCCUCCCUCAGACUAGCGCUGGGUCUUCUCUGAGCUCUGCAACCGGGGAGGGCCCCCACCCAGUGAUCUGAGGGAGUGCCUGGGUUCCACCCUUGCUCCCCAAGAAGGAAAGGGACACCAAGCCUCCAUCUGGGAGGGCUGGGGGUGUUUAUCCAGAGAUACUGUGGUCCUGCAGGAGCCCCGAGGAGGGAGAGGACAGUUCCCCAGACCCAGGGCCCCUCAGGCAUGGUCUUCCAUGGGUGUGGGCCCCAGGGCCAGUCUGGCUGCUCACCCAGAGCUGAAAUGUGGGCUCCCCCCUCCCAGGGACACCGCGGGCAGGCUGAUCAGGCACCGGCUUGCCAGCCCCGCCCCCACCCCAGCAGGGCUCCAGGGAGUGUGCUUUGACUGGGGAAGUGGAGGAAGACCAAAGUGGGGUGGCAGAGUGAUGGCCUCUGUGUGUGGCCCGGCGUGGGAAACCACCUGCUGACAGUCAGCUGAACGGCAGAGCAGCCUCCCCCCAGGGCCUCCCGUGGACCAGGGCCCUGCAGGGGAGGACCAGGAACCUCCACAACCUGAGACCCUCGGCCUUCCAGACCCCAAGCUCCCCCUGGGUGCUUCAGUCCACUUUCCAGGGCCAGGAGCCCUGAGCACAGCAGGGAAGGAGUGGGUGCAAUUCUGUGGUGCAGGGGAGGGGCAGAGAAGGCCAGGGACACCCACCCCAAGUCUGACUCCGAUGGCUGGUCCCCCACAGUGGCCCUGGGCUAGCCCCCCAACUGAAGCUCCCCUUUUCUGAAAGGGAGGGGGUGGGUGACCCGGGGAGGUGCAGCCACCCCUGGCGAGGUGGGGGGGAUGCUCUCCCUCAUGACCCAACCUGCUUCUGGCCCUGCCCUUCCCCACGGUCCACCACGCCCCUGCCAGUGCCCCCACCUGCUCCAUCUCCUGGAUUCUCAUUCUUCCAGUUGUUCCAAAUCACAGCUGCAGGUCCCAUCAGGACCUAGAACGUGCUCUGAGGGGCCUCCAGGCCUGCCUGCACCCUCUCCCCGGCUGCUGCAGCUCCUGGGUGGGGACUGUGCCUCACCCUUCCCAAGGAGAGAAGAUGGAUACAGAGCAGGAAUGUCUACUGGGCCCAUCACCCUCUCAGAGUCUGAUCUCCAUUUUCCACCCAGAUGGUGGAUGGGAGCCAGGCUCCGCCGUGCCACUGUCUCUGAAAAUGAUCUUGGAAACCUGGAGAGACUUCAGAGGGUCUCAGGGGCAGCCCCCCGGGAAGGAUGGUGGGACAGGCCUCCUGCUCCUAUGCAGGGCCAGAUCUCGGGCAUCAGGGAACCUUCCAGGGUCUGAUGGGGCCAUGCAGAGGCCCCAUCCUUGAGCCCUGGGCACCCCCACUGGGCUCCAGGCCCCAGCCGGGCCAUUCAUCCUGCCCCUGGACUGCCUGUGCCACCCAGCAUCGGCUGCCAGCACCCCGUGGACGGGUUCGGGGCCAGCACAGGCUGGGUCGGUUGAAGAAAGCCGAGUCAUGGGACGGACAUUCUGGCUGAGCCUGGGCCCCCCUGCCCUGGGGUCCGGCUCCUGACCCCACCGUCCUUAGGGACCUGGAGGCAGGCAGGACUGUCGCAGCCGGUCCUCACUCACACCACAGCUGGGCCACACCUCCCAUGAUUCAGGGUGGAGAGGCCGCCUUUCCGGAAGACUGAGGCCAGCGGUACACAGGCCCCUCCCCAAGAUGUGACAGUUCUCCUACCCUCGGCCACUGAGAACAGCCUGAAGGAUGAAGGACGCUGCAGUCAUCCUCGUUUUACCUAGCCAGUCAUGUUUCUGAAGGCGAUGACUGCAGGUAAGGUUUCCGACAGACUCUGAGGUGGAAAGCAGUGUGCAAAGUCAAAUCAAAGUAGGUCACGUGUUUGCUCUUAGAAAUACACACAUGCCGCGGGAGAGGUACACGCCCCAAGCGGGAUCAGGUAAGGUUACAUUCAAUUUCUCCUUUACACUUUUCUAGAAUUUCUCAGUUUUCCCGCAGGGAAUAUCUAUUAGUUGACUUUUUUUUUUUUUUCAAUUGAGGUGAUAUUCACAUAACAUGCAACGGAUAUGUAAAAUGUACAACUCAGUGGCAUUUAGUUUAUUCAUAAUAUUGUACAAACACCAGCUCUCUCUAGUUUCAAAACUUUUUCAUCACCCCAUUAAAACCCCAUAAAAAUACCACCCUGUACUCAGUAAGUCAUCAUUCCCCAUUUCUUCCUCCCCCAUCCUCUGGGAACUGCUAACCUGCAUUGUGUCUCUGUGAAUUUGCCUGUUCCGGGUACAUCACAUAAAAAGCAUCACAUGGUAUGUGGCCUUUGUGUCUGGCUGCUUUCACACAGCGCAGUGUUUUCAAGGUCCAUCUAUGUUGUUGUCUUUAUAAUUUCAUUCCCUUUUAUGACUGAAUAAUAUCCCACAUUUGGUUGUCCAUUGAUCUGUCAAUGGACAUUUGGGUCAUUUUUACCUCUUAGAGAUUGUGAGUAAUGCCGCUAUGAACAUUCCUAUAAGGUCUCUCUAUGGACAUAGUUUUCAUUUCUCUAGGUCAUAUACCAAGGAGUGGAAUUGCUGGAUCAUGAUAAUUCUAUGUUUAACUAUUUAAGGAACUGCCACACGGUUUUCUGUUUUCCACCUGCACCAUUUUACAUUCCCACCAGCAAUGUAUAAGAGUUCCUGUUUAUCCACAUCCUUGCCAACACUUGUUAGU
This is a long non-coding RNA of Aethalodelphis obliquidens (Pacific white-sided dolphin), 3966 nucleotides long. RefSeq lists it as uncharacterized. The record is from RefSeq and is a predicted model, not a curated record. NCBI's taxonomy places the organism in Eukaryota, Metazoa, Chordata, Mammalia, Artiodactyla, Delphinidae. The transcript is spliced from 4 exons.